Molecule: long non-coding RNA, 4038 nt
Filed under: Nicotiana tabacum (common tobacco)
Lineage: Eukaryota; Viridiplantae; Streptophyta; Magnoliopsida; Solanales; Solanaceae
Description: long non-coding RNA (NTAB_LNC017299)
Source: RNAcentral
UGAUCCAAACCCUUUAUUUGUCUUGAGAAAUUCAUUGAAUAUGUACAAAAUAUUAGUUUGGAACCCAUAACUUAAAAAGAACUAGAAUCUCAAGCCUAUAAACUUCAAAUCAUAAUCAUGACUUCGCCUCUAAUCACAGCACAUUAGCCUCAGUUACUGGAGAACAGUUUAAGGGAUAUUUUCAGUUGGCUCUCAUAUUCAUUCUUAUUUGCCAUAGCAAAUAAGAAGAGAAGAGCAUUUUAUCAAACUGGUUCGCUGUACAUGUUAGGAAACACAUCUAUACAAGUGUAACAUUGUUGCUUAACAUGUGACAAAAUAUGUACAAAAACUAUCCUGCAUUCCACAUGGUGCUCAAGCACAGGCAUCCAACAGACGCGAUCAUUUACACUUGAAGGGCAAGCAUCUGAAAAGCGGUAUUUACCAGCGGCAAAUUCCAGGUGCCUCCGUUCGCAAAAGGGAAACCAUCUCUUCGUACUUGGAAGCAUAUACAAAGCCCCAUAACUGCAUGGCACAUGAUAAAUGUAUAUUGCACUCUUAAAGUUAAAUUUCAUAUAGCUAAGUGCAAACAAACUGCCCUGUGACAGGCUGACACACACAUGCAUUUACAUAUACAGACAGAGACAAGGCAGGCCACAACCCGCACACGUAUGCAAACACAAACACACACAGAGAUACAGUUGUGAGUCUACCUCAACUUCCUUAACUUCAAAGUCUUCAGUGUGUGCCAAACAAGAAUUUCCAUACGUUUCUGAUGUUGCACUUGAACCUGUUAGCCUGAAAAAGUCGACUUGAAUUAAUCCCAAAUAAGUUGGAAUCAUCAGAUUUGAUUUCAUAGUAAAUAUAUUAAGUCAAAAAGGUGAGGUUCAUGACGAUGAUGAUGAUAGUUUCCACCUUAAGUUCAUUGAGAAGGUUAAUAUUUCAAAUUUUGACAUGACAACAAAAAUUUGGAUGGACAAAGAAGAUAACUCCCAAGAGGCUGUGGGGCAUUCGAUAAUCCUCUUUUUUCUCCCUUUAUUGGAGGACAUUAUGAUACUAAGUGAGAAGUGGUGAAAAGUCAUACAAACAUAAUUCAACAGUAGAUUCAAUAAGUUGAAACAUACAUAGCCAACACAAUCUUUUGGCUAGCUUUUUUGGUGCAACCUGGCUUUUGUUAAAGAUAUAGUUCCAUAUUAGAUAUGAUGGGGGCCUUGCACAAUUUGCAACGCACUAUCUUAGUGUUGUUACACCAUUUAUUAGAUUUCAUCUUUACUUAUUAAAAAACAUAAAGCAAUGAAAUCAGGAGCAAAAGAAAGGAGAAAGAAAUCUUACAGAUCCCCAUCUAAGUAGAGAGCAAAAUGACCACCACCUCCCAAAGCCAAAUACUCGGUGGAGCAGACAGUGAAAUAGCGAUUGACACCUACUUAGGCACCAGUAUCAGUUUCAUUAGAAUUGAUUUGAAUUCUAAACAGUCCUAAGGCUGAAACAUAUCCAUAAAAAGCAAAAGGAAAUGAACAAUAAGAGUCAAAAACAGAAACAGUUCGGGAUCGUUUGGUUUGUGAACAAGUUAUACUGAGAUUAUAAUACGGGGUUUAAAUUAAAUCAUGACAGGAUUAUUUAUUGGAUAUACUUUUAUUGGUAGAUAUUUGGAUCAUUAAAAGUAUAUCCAAUAAAUAAUUUGGACCAACAGUAAAGUUGUCUCUGUGUGACCUUAUAGGUCACGGGUUCGAGCCGUGAAAGCAGCCACUAAUAUUUACAUUAGGGUAGGUUGUCUACAUCACACCCCCCGGGGUGCGGGCUCACCUUUUCUUAUUUGGAUCGUUGGACUAAAAAUGGUAUAUGCGGGUAUAAUAUAUAUCAUGUCAUACUACACUAGAUAGACUUGGAUAAACUUUUAUCUCCAAUUUUAACCUUGGCUUUCUUAAAAGACUUAGAGAGAAGAGUUCUCGAGAAGAGUGUCAUUUUUUGGUUUGUCUCUGGGUAUCAGUAAUCCCGAGAUUGUUAUCCCACAUAAAGUGUGGUAUAAAAAUAAUACCACAAUUGUGGUACAAAAAAUCCCGGGAUUACUUGUACCGAAAUAAAAAACUCAACCAACGCGGGAUAAAUGAUCCCACAUUUUUCCACGGGAUUAUUAUCCCCUAUCCUCUCGUUCCAGUCAUGCGACUCAUGCCAGGAUUGGGACAGUCGUGGUUUCGUAGAGAAAAAUAUGACUAAUUUCUGGAAAAUAAUAAAAAGAUUGUUACAUCUUUAGUAUACACCACGAAUACAAUAUUUCAUAGCUUGUAUGCUUAUGUUUUCAUCAUCACAAAUGACAGUAAAUCAUGUAACCAAUGGAUUAAAAAUGUUUCAACCCCAUGCUCUCCCACAAAUGGACCACUAUUUUGAUUCUCCUUUCGAUCAUCAAUUUCACAAACAACAAAAGAUAAUGAGAUGCUGAACAAUCCACUCCCAUCCCAAUGUAUUAAUUAAAUUUAUACAGGACAGCAAACAAAAACCAAAAAUGGAAAUUUGUUCUCCAACAUGAAAUGUCUGGUAAAAAUAUAAGGAAAAAAGAGAUACCUGUGGGUCGAAAUAUAACAGGUUGGCCAGAUACAUUUGAGAAAACAAAUGAAUUAUUUGUACCCUGCCAAAUACCACAAUCAAAAUAAAGAAGAAAAAUGGAAACUCAAACACAAAGCGACAUGUUUUGAGUUUUCAGCUAAGAAUUACCUGAUAUCUUCUCUUAGUUGUUGCCCUUAAAGGUGCAUCAACUAGGCCACCAAAUACAGCACCGUUACGAUCCCCCACAACCUAUAAGAUAUGGACGACAUGAGAGAGACACAACUAGCGUCUCAUACCAGAUUUAAUAAUCUCAAGUCUGACGUCUUAAUGACUACAUCCACAAUUCACAGUGACAGAAAAGAAAAAGACACCAGACACAGGAAUGAUUUUAACUUCAAUAAUGCAAAAAGAGAUGGAGCGCUCAGACUCAUACAAAAAGAGCAACCAGCUAGAAUCAAAAACUAAAGUGAAAAUUUUACUGCCCUUUGACUUCAAAAAUGGCACACAGCGAACUUCAGAGGCGUUUCCAGCUCAUGAUCAAUCUUUUAUAUUUUUCAAAACAAUAACGCCUAACCCAGAAAUCUUGAGUUCCAAAAAUAUCAGAAGGAAUAAAUUACCAAAUUAUGAGUUUAUCAGCCAAGAGAGGCAUUACUUAGGUCUUGUUAUGAAACAAGGACACACCUCAUCUUUUCAGUGAAAAUAUAAAUCUAGCUGACCUCCCUGAAAUUGGAAGGAUUACUUGGUUUUUGAAAAUAUAAUUUGGACUGUGACAGCAACACUAAUAAUUUAGGGCAUAAAAAGAUAACAGGACCCACGUAAUCAACAACUGUUCAAAAUGUAAACAAAACUAUUUUCCAAUAUGUUACUCCUGGUACAUACGCCUUUAUAAGCAUAUAAAUAUCUCUUAACAUAAUUACCAGCAGACUGAUGCCAUGCCAGAGUAGGCUUCUCCUAUAUAACGUUGAGAGUGAUAUUCCAUUCCUCCAUGUACUGACAAAAUAGAAACGAGAAGUUAAAGUGGAAAGUAGAAGAGAAAAUAAACAUAUAGAUGCUGCUGAGAAAGGAAUUCAAAUUUAAUUCAACUUAUGAUCCCCUGCCUGUAUAACAAGACCCACUUCCUGUCCUGCACAAGCACCGGCAAUGCAGCAUAAAGAGUGCUUCUAGCCUUCUCAGAGAGGAGCAUUGAAGGCUCAGAAGUUUCCGGAAGUUUGCUCGGAGGAAGUUUCUGAUUCAUAUCUUCCAAAGGUAUCUGAUCAUCAACUUUGGAAUUACUUCCAUCAUCAAACACCAUCUCAGAACUGCCCUUUGCAGAACCCUGAUUUCUAAAGCCGCCUAGUCUAGCGACUCCGUGAAACGCUCUACCGAGGGACUGUUUACCCCUGGAAAGUAUACUUUUUCUUCUGCUAGGUUCCUUCAUUAUAGGUUCAGGUGUUGACUCGUCUUGCUUGCCACUAAUGUUAGACUUACCAUCAGAUCCUGUGGUCGACAGCAGAGAAUAUAGAAAUGCGGUGAAAGAAGAUG